Molecule: microRNA precursor, 204 nt
Filed under: Oryza rufipogon (brownbeard rice)
Lineage: Eukaryota; Viridiplantae; Streptophyta; Magnoliopsida; Poales; Poaceae
Description: MIR812 microRNA precursor family
Rfam family: MIR812 microRNA precursor family
Source: Rfam by way of RNAcentral
AAAAAAACAAACCCUGGGUUUCCGUGUCCAACGUUUGACUGUCCGUCUUAUAUAAAUUUUUUUAUAUUAGUAUUUUCAUUAUUGUUAGAUGAUAAAACAUGAUUAAUACUUUAUGCAUGACUUGUCUUUUUAAUUUUUUUCAUAUUUUUUAAAAUAAGAUGAACAGUCAAACGUUAGACAUGGAAAUCCAGGGUUUAUCUUUUU